GUGUCUGGCACCCACUGUGCGGCGAACUGACGUUUCCUACGGGACUGUUGUUGCCUGUCUGUUCUGGGAUUCCCUGCAUAGCGACGUUCACGUUGCUUCCAGUAUUGUUGACUCCGGCGAGUCCGUAACCAACGUAGUAAUCUUGUCCAGGUGCUUGAGUAGUCGGUGCGGGAUUAGACGGGCACUUAUAGGUCAUCAUAGUUUCAUUCUCCUUAUAAACCGUCUCUGGAUGAUGCUGUUGAUGAUCUUUCACGGAGAACCCGUCCGUAGCUCUACGGUUCUCCAGUUUUGUAUGUGACUUCCGUCGUCUUGUAUGUUACUUCCGAUAUGGGCGGUGUCUUGUAUGUGGCCUCAGGAUAGGACCAAUCAGCAGAGACCGCGGCACCAGGUGCUGCGUACAUCGCAUAUUCUUGAUAAUUUUGAUACUGAUUUUGAUAUCCAUUCGCGUAUUCCAUGGCU
RNAcentral lists this unclassified non-coding RNA (459 nucleotides) under Bombus terrestris (buff-tailed bumblebee). RNAcentral describes it as "misc RNA ENSBTSG00005026549.1". Lineage: Eukaryota; Metazoa; Arthropoda; Insecta; Hymenoptera; Apidae. The record is from RNAcentral.